AUUGAACGCUGGCGGCAUGCCUUACACAUGCAAGUCGAACGGUAACAGGGAGCUUGCUCCGCUGACGAGUGGCGAACGGGUGAGUAAUGUAUCGGAACGUACCUUUUAGUGGGGGAUAACGUAGCGAAAGUUACGCUAAUACCGCAUAUUCUCUGAGGAGGAAAGCAGGGGACCUUCGGGCCUCGCGCUAAUAGAUCGGCUGAUAUCAGAUUAGCUAGUUGGUGAGGUAAAGGCUCACCAAGGCGACGAUCUGUAGCGGGUCUGAGAGGAUGAUCCGCCACACUGGAACUGAGACACGGUCCAGACUCCUACGGGAGGCAGCAGUGGGGAAUUUUGGACAAUGGGGGCAACCCUGAUCCAGCCAUGCCGCGUGAGUGAAAAAGGCCUUCGGGUUGUAAAGCUCUUUCGGCCGGGAAAAAAUCGCAUGGGUUAAUACCCUGUGUGGAUGAUGGUACCGGAAUAAGAAGCACCGGCUAACUACGUGCCAGCCGCCGCCGUAA
This 500-nucleotide ribosomal RNA is filed under the name uncultured bacterium. RNAcentral's name for it is "partial 16S ribosomal RNA". It matches the Rfam family "Bacterial small subunit ribosomal RNA", at positions 30 to 523 of the family's 1533-position model. The record is from RNAcentral.